GGAGCCGUAUCAGCUGUAAUUCACGGCUGUUCAUGUGAAUCUUCGUACUUUCUUUUGCACCCAAGAGAACGUCAGAAGCGAACAUACCUAGAAAUAAAAGUGCUGGUGAUGCAUAAUCCCACAGCUGAGCAGGACCCAUCAGAUGUGUCUAUAGUAAUGGAAGGCAGCAAAGUUUUGAGCGGGUGUGGAAUCAGAACCACAGCAUGGAUACUGUUGAUGGGAAUGAUAUAUGCACUGAACAUGGAGUAUCCAAGAAACCUGAAGUACAGUUUUGAAAUGUUCAAAAAGCUUUUUUUGGAACUUGAUGGAGCAAACCCCCUCAAGAAGGUCCAAACCUUUAAACGUAAGAUUAGGGAAUAAGCUUUUUUUUUACUGUACAUUUGCUUUAGCCAACAAAGACAUUUUUGGAUGGAAAAUGUAAGAAUUUCAACGAUGACUUUUAUCUCAAUUGAAAUUGAUGUUAAGAAUAAGAAUAUUGCUAUGAAUGUAUAUUUUGACAUCCAGCGAAAACUAUUUAUAUUUUAUUUAAAUGAGUUUGCAAUAGUUUUGUGUUACUUGAAUUUGAAUGUAAAAGGGCUCUUUUGUACUUGCAUUAGUUAGCGUUUAAUAUUAAAAAAUAUGAAAUGCAUCUUUGUGUCCCAAUAGCAUGUCAAUCCACAUGCUAUAGCAUGUGAUCUGCCUUUCAUUACAGAUCUUGUGUUGCAACCACUGCAAAACCACAAUGCAUAGGAUAAUAGUUGCUUGUUGUUUAAAAGGACAAAAUGUUAUAGUUGUAUGUAUAGGAAAUGUUGCUUCUAAUGUAUAUUCUGACAUCCAGUGAAGACAGUAGUUUGUUUUUAAAUAGAACAUUUUCAUGAAUUUGUAAUGUGAAAAAUAGUUGUAAUUCAACUUGAAUGUAGAAGGGGUCUUUUGCACUUGCAUUAGUGUCUAAUGUUUAAAAGAUGAAAUGUUUGUGUCAGCAGUCCUUGUUUAUUUUGAAAUGUUAGGAGUAAUUUAUAGAAGUGAUGUGGUAUGUUAUUAGAAAUUGAGUGUAAGAGGAUUUCAUUAUUUACAAAAUAAAGUUGUAAUUGAA
Long non-coding RNA from Triplophysa dalaica, 1072 nucleotides. RefSeq lists it as uncharacterized. Lineage: Eukaryota; Metazoa; Chordata; Actinopteri; Cypriniformes; Nemacheilidae. The transcript has 2 exons. The record is from RefSeq and is a predicted model, not a curated record.